AUAGCUUUUACAGGAAAUCAGUUGUCAGUGCUUUCAUUGCCCAGUUCCAUGAUUUCAAUAAAAGGGAACUUGAAAUUAUUUCAAGUGUGAAGUGUUUAAGACAAACUACAUGACUUCCCUCACGACCCUGACUGACAACGUUGGAACCUUGCACGGUACGUUCACUCUUUUUAUUGACCUACACUUUGGCAGAAAACGGUUUCACUUGGUUUUUAGUGCAUAAGGGUUAUGAGUAUUGUAAUAUAAUAAUAAUAAUAAUAAUAAUGUAAAUGUUUAAUUAAAUUAAAUUAAAUUAUUAAAAAAAAUACUUUCUAUUUUUUAUGUUACAAUACUUAAUAACAAUAUCUGUUAUUAUGAAGCAAACUGUUAUAUUUGCAUUUAUUAUUGCAACUAAUAACUUUUAAAUUAAUAAUCAACUGGUUACACAUGAUUACUGUAGUUAUAAUAAGUUAUAAUUAUUAUAUAACAAUGCCAUGCUGUCACUCUCACUCAUUCUGUAACUUUCAAACUUGCAGAUCAUGAUUGUCAAUAAUACUUGUGUCCCUGAAAAUGACACGGCCACAUGUGCGGCCCCCAGCUCCCGUUCAGCUCUGGCUGUCGGGCUGAUAUUAUUCUUUCUGCUGCUUUUGAUUGCAGCUGGUGUAAUCUUGUUCAAAUGCCAAAGUAAAAUGAGAAAUAUGUUGCAAUUUGGACAAAGAAGAAGCCAGAAAAAGGAGGACAAUACGGAGACACCACAAGACGAUUCCCAUCAGUACAUCAGUAUCAAUCAGUCAACAGUAGAGACCCCUAUUUAUGAAAACCUGACAACUCGAACUACUAGAUACAACAGGCCUGCAGUAAACAAGAGCAAGUUUCCAGGUGAACCUGAAGAGGAUGUGUACUUGCAGUGUGAUUCACCAGAUGAUGCAAUAUACGGCAAUGAUCCUACAUGUAAUCUCUCCAUCCACCCAGACUCCCAAGAAGAAGAUGUGUAUAUUGUGCCAGAUUCAUAAUAGGACACGUCUCUAUUCAGUGCUCAAACUAUAAAUGUACAUUUAAAGCAAAUAUUUGCUGCUGCUUUUUAAUACAGCUGAGCAGUAAACAAGAAAAAAUACUGUAGUAAAUCCACAAUCAGAAUAGUUAAUACUUAUAUCUUAUUGUAUAGUCUGUAAAAUUAGGAAAGGAAUGAUAUGCAUAAUCUCUAUAUAUUCUGUUACCUGUGAACUUUCAUUGCUACUGCUUUUGAGUUCAUUUAAGAUCUGCAAAUAACCACAUUUUGACAACAAUCCAAGUUAACUAAAUUUUCUGAUAAGAUUUGAUAGUUUUAUGGCUUUCUUUUGAUACGCCUGGAAUUACAGAUUAAUCACCUUUCAUUUUGAGUUAACAAAUAAAUUCUACAAAUGACUUUUUUUAAUAGAUUAAAAAAGUAAAAAGAGGUAUUUGAAAUGUUCCACACUUAUGCACAUAAGUAGGUGGAUGUGUGUAAUUAUAUGAUAUAGUAUUCAUUGUGCUUUAUAUAAUAAUUAUUAUUAUAGAUGUUGAUGUGGAUGUGAAUUAUAGAUGUGGUCCAUAAACUUUUUCUAUUUGCACAUUUUAAAUAUUUAUAUCUCUCAAAGUGUUUCAAAGGUAGCCACCAUUUAAAACAGCUGCGUCCUUGUUCAAUGAUUUCAUUGAAUUAAUUAUGUUGCUUUGUAUGGUAACCAUAACAAAUGUUGUGAGAUGAUGAAGAUGAAACGCAUGUUAACAUAAUAUCAAGAACAAUUUGCAAUUGCAUUUUCAUUUGAACUAUGAUGUUCUCAUGUAAAAGUCUUUAGCUAACAGCCACCUGUAACGUGUCUUAUUAGGUUUAGAAAAAAAUGUGAGAAUACAAUUUACUGACUCACUUUCCAAUAAAUACUGUACAUUCAGAGACGUACUGUGAAAAAAUACUCAUUUUGAUAUAUAGUAUGCGCACCAUUGCAAAACAUUUAACAAGUACACCAUCAAGACUUUCAAAACAUGCAAAGGUCAGCAUUGUUUCUUUUGUGUUUGGUGAGACACAGGAUGUGAAAACCGUUUGCAUAUGAAAUCAAGAUUUGUUGUCUCAUUCCUCAAAAGAUCUUACAGGGAACAGACCGAAAGAUAUAAAACGUUGUCCAAAUGUUACAGAAUGAGAGGUGUGAUUUGUGCUUCUCUGGGCCGUAAUGACAAGAGAGUUGUUCUGGCUUUCAGCUAGCUGACAUCCUGGAAUUAAUUUCAGUAACUGUUUUCCGGUAAGGCUACGUGGGGAUUAAAACCAGGAGAAAGCCAAAUACCAGAGGCUAAUGAGUCCAUGCUGUCUACCUUAGAAUACACACAGAAGGCCCUUGAUAAAUACUGUCCCUAAUUAUUUUACACUUGUAUACUUUGGGUGGUACUGCAACUCAGGACCUUUCAGAAUCUAAGAUUGAAGACCUUUACAUCCACCCACAGUUGUGUAAUUACUGAGGAUGUCAUCCCUAAAACAAAGAGUACCAGGACAAAAACAAAAGAAGUGAGUGAGCUGUUUCUGGGCACAGGUCUCAAUUUACCGUAAGAAAAGUGUAAUUACAGUUAGCAUUUGUGUCUGCAGCUCUGAUUAAUCACCUAUGUAUCCGUCUGCCUAUUUAUUCAGUCGUCCAGGGUCACUCAAUACGCCCCACUCUUUAAUACAUCUACUUUAUUAAUUGUAAAACAACACAUGCUCAUAUUUAAGUGACCUUUACCCAUGCAAAGAUAAAAAACAUUUAUAACUCAUUAGGGGUGGUGGUGGGACUUCUUGGAGUAAUUAAUCUAUAAACAUUUCAGAGGAGCUUGCUACCGAUUCCAGUUCACGCG
This is a long non-coding RNA of Cottoperca gobio, 2814 nucleotides long. NCBI's taxonomy places the organism in Eukaryota, Metazoa, Chordata, Actinopteri, Perciformes, Bovichtidae. The record is from Ensembl.